CCUACGGGAGGCAGCAGUGGGGAAUCUUGCGCAAUGGGCGAAAGCCUGACGCAGCAACGCCGCGUGGGUGAUGAAGGUCUUCGGAUUGUAAAACCCUGUCGUUAGGGACGAAGACAUGAAUCCUAAUACGAUUCAUGUUUGACGGUACCUAGAAAGGAAGCCCCGGCUAACUCUGUGCCAGCAGCCGCGGUAAUACAGAGGGGGCAAGCGUUAUUCGGAAUUAUUGGGCGUAAAGGGUGCGUAGGCGGUUUUCUAAGUCAGAUGUGUAAUCCCCGAGCUCAACUUGGGAACUGCAUCUGAAACUGGGAGACUAGAGUACUGGAGAGGAUGGUGGAAUUCCACGUGUAGCGGUAAAAUGCGUAGAGAUGUGGAGGAACACCAGUGGCGAAGGCGGCCAUCUGGACAGUAACUGACGCUGAAGCACGAAAGUGUGGGUAGCAAACAGGAUUAGAUACCCUGGUAGUCCACACCGUAAACGAUGAACACUUGGUGUAGUGGGAGUUGACCCCCACUGUGCCGUAGCUAACGCGAUAAGUGUUCCGCCUGGGGAGUACGGUCGCAAGGCUGAAACUCAAAUGAAUUGACGG
RNAcentral lists this ribosomal RNA (587 nucleotides) under uncultured bacterium. RNAcentral's name for it is "bacterial SSU rRNA". It matches the Rfam family "Bacterial small subunit ribosomal RNA", at positions 338 to 916 of the family's 1533-position model. The record is from RNAcentral.